RNAcentral lists this ribosomal RNA (465 nucleotides) under uncultured bacterium. Its description in RNAcentral is "partial 16S ribosomal RNA". It matches the Rfam family "Bacterial small subunit ribosomal RNA", at positions 339 to 795 of the family's 1533-position model. The record is from RNAcentral.
CUACGGGCGGCUGCAGUGGGGAAUAUUGCACAAUGGGCGCAAGCCUGAUGCAGCCAUGCCGCGUGUAUGAAGAAGGCCUUCGGGUUGUAAAGUACUUUCAGCGGGGAGGAAGGGAGUAAAGUUAAUACCUUUGCUCAUUGACGUUACCCGCAGAAGAAGCACCGGCUAACUCCGUGCCAGCAGCCGCGGUGAAUACGGAGGGUGCAAGCGUUAAUCGGAAUUACUGGGCGUAAAGCGCACGCAGGCGGUUUGUUAAGUCAGAUGUGAAAUCCCCGGGCUCAACCUGGGAACUGCAUCUGAUACUGGCAAGCUUGAGUCUCGUAGAGGGGGGUAGAAUUCCAGGUGUAGCGGUGAAAUGCGUAGAGAUCUGGAGGAAUACCGGUGGCGAAGGCGGCCCCCUGGACGAAGACUGACGCUCAGGUGCGAAAGCGUGGGGAGCAAACAGGAUUAGAUACCCCUGUAGUC